GUUCCGGUCAGAAUUCGUAAAUUCCUGUAUCGUUGUUUCGGCAACGAUGUUUAAGAGCCCCCGCUUAAGGAAUUAGCCCGUACGAAGGGCACGAAGCGAAUUUCGCGCUCGGACUGUACCGUAAGCGUAAGCUUCGAUCUUUGGGUGAACGGUUGAUAACCUUGAAGAGAACGUCUGGAAUGCGAUGUAAGUCCAUUGCGAGCCUUUUGUUCAUUUUUAACCGACGGCAAUCUCCUCCCACUAGCCGGCGUAUAUCUCCGUUAAUUGCAAUAUGGCGGACAACGAUUUCGUUGUACUCGCGCGUGCCGAUAGAGCGAGUUGUCGGUGCGCCCUUCUCUAACUGGCUUACACCUGCUAACGACUCCGUUAAUAGAACCGCCGUCCGCUUCGGUGUAUCAAGGAGAAUGUAAAUACGUCGAGGCUUCUCGUAACGCGCGGAGAGAAAGAGAGAAACGGUACCGAACGAUCCGAAACGAUCGCGGAAAAGAAUUUCGCGAAGCGUUGUUACCCUCGAGAGAUCGACGACGAAUCGAUCGAGCUAGCGAUCGCGCGCACGGUCUCCGUUUCGCGAAAGGUUGAUGGACUGUACGGAAACGCGCGAUCUGUUUAUUUGACAGCCGAGGAACGGCGUCGAUUCUCUGCUCGGUGGGGUCGCGUACGCGAUAUUGGCCGACGAAAAAGCGUUAAAACGAACUCGAUCGAAGAAA
Long non-coding RNA from Megachile rotundata (alfalfa leafcutting bee), 707 nucleotides. Lineage: Eukaryota; Metazoa; Arthropoda; Insecta; Hymenoptera; Megachilidae. The record is from RefSeq and is a predicted model, not a curated record.